This 62-nucleotide transfer RNA is filed under the name Candidatus Poseidoniales archaeon. RNAcentral describes it as "Marine Group II euryarchaeote (marine metagenome) tRNA-OTHER". It matches the Rfam family "tRNA", at positions 23 to 71 of the family's 71-position model. Rfam says of the family: Transfer RNA (tRNA) molecules are approximately 80 nucleotides in length. Their secondary structure includes four short double-helical elements and three loops (D, anti-codon, and T loops). Lineage: Archaea; Methanobacteriati; Thermoplasmatota; Candidatus Poseidoniia; Candidatus Poseidoniales. The record is from RNAcentral.
GCGCGCGACUGGAAAUCGCGUGGGUCCGUCCCUCGGGAGUUCAAAUCUCUCUCUCGGCGCCA